GCAUAUCAAUAAGCGGAGGAAAAGAAACCAACAGGGAUUGCCCCAGUAACGGCGAGUGAAGCGGCAACAGCUCAAAUUUGAAAUCUGGCUCUCGGGCCCGAGUUGUAAUUUGUAGAGGAUGCUUUUGGUGAGGUGCCUUCCGAGUUCCCUGGAACGGGACGCCAUAGAGGGUGAGAGCCCCGUCUGGUUGGACACCGAUCCUCUGUAAAGCUCCUUCGACGAGUCGAGUAGUUUGGGAAUGCUGCUCUAAAUGGGAGGUAUAUGUCUUCUAAAGCUAAAUACCGGCCAGAGACCGAUAGCGAACAAGUACCGUGAGGGAAAGAUGAAAAGAACUUUGAAAAGAGAGUUAAACAGUACGUGAAAUUGUUGAAAGGGAAACGAUUGAAGUCAGUCGUACCAGCGGGAAAUCAACCUUUCGAGUGGGAUCUUGGAGCUUUAAAGAGUUUCAAAGCCUUUGGGUUUCAAGAUUUCUACUCUUUUGGUGUACUUUCUCGUAGGUAGGUCAACAUCGAUUUUGAACAUCAUAAAAAGAUCGGAGGAAUGUAGCUUCGAUCUCGUAUUGAAGUGUUAUAGCCUUUGGUAAAUGUGAUGCUCAAGAUCGAGGAUUGCAACGAAUAUCCUUUUGGGCUAUUCGUCUGAUCUCUGAUACGUGGCCUUGGUAUCGAAAGCGUGCUUACGGUAUUAAGGUAUUACGGUCAAAAGGUUAGAACGGAUUACAUUCGUUAAGGAUGUUGACGUA
Molecule: ribosomal RNA, 739 nt
Filed under: uncultured Glomerales
Lineage: Eukaryota; Fungi; Glomeromycota; Glomeromycetes; Glomerales; Glomeraceae
Description: LSU rRNA
Rfam family: Eukaryotic large subunit ribosomal RNA
Source: RNAcentral